AACGAACGCUGGCGGCAUGCCUAACACAUGCAAGUCGAACGCGACCUUCGGGUAUAGUGGCGCACGGGUGCGUCACGCGUGGGAACCUUCCCUUAGGUUCGGAAUAACUCCCCGAAAGGGGUGCUAAUACCGGAUAAUGUCUUAGGACCAAAGAUUUAUUGCCUUUGGAUGUGCACGCGUUGGAUUAGCUAGUUGGUAAGGUAAAAGCCUACCAAGGCGACGUUCCAUAGCUGGUCUGAGAGGAUGACCAGCCACACUGGGACAGAGACACGGCCCAGACUCCUACGGGUGGCAGCAAGGGGGAAUAUUGGACAAUGGGCGAAAGCCGGAUCCAGCAAUGCCGCGUGAGUCAGGAAGGCCUGAGGGUUGUAAAGCUCUGUUACCCGGGAUGAUAAUGACAGUACCGGGAGAAUAAGCUCCGGCUAACUCCGUG
This 433-nucleotide ribosomal RNA is filed under the name uncultured bacterium. RNAcentral's name for it is "partial 16S ribosomal RNA". It matches the Rfam family "Bacterial small subunit ribosomal RNA", at positions 29 to 507 of the family's 1533-position model. The record is from RNAcentral.